UACGGAGGGUGCAAGCGUUAUCCGGAUUCACUGGGUUUAAAGGGUGCGUAGGAGGACUGGUAAGUCAGUGGUGAAAUCCCCGAGCUUAACUUGGGAAUUGCGCUUGUGACUGGCGUGCUGGAGUGUGGCAGAGGGAGGUGGAAUUCCACGUGUAGCAGUGAAAUGCGUAGAGAUGUGGAGGAACACCGAUGGCGAAGGCAGCCUCCUGGGCCAGCACUGACGCUCAUGCACGAAAGCGUGGGGAGCAAACAGG
Molecule: ribosomal RNA, 253 nt
Filed under: uncultured bacterium
Lineage: Bacteria
Description: partial 16S ribosomal RNA
Rfam family: Bacterial small subunit ribosomal RNA
Source: RNAcentral